GUGAAUGGCAAUGCCAUCCUGCACUUGCUGGAUCUCAUCUGAUCUCAGAGGCUAAGCAGGGUCAGGCCUGGUUAGUAAUUGGACAGAAGAAUUAGCACUGUAGACU
This 106-nucleotide ribosomal RNA is filed under the name Octodon degus (degu). The record is from RNAcentral. Lineage: Eukaryota; Metazoa; Chordata; Mammalia; Rodentia; Octodontidae.